Mastomys coucha (southern multimammate mouse) is the source of this 2010-nucleotide long non-coding RNA. RefSeq lists it as uncharacterized. The transcript has 2 exons. The record is from RefSeq and is a predicted model, not a curated record. NCBI's taxonomy places the organism in Eukaryota, Metazoa, Chordata, Mammalia, Rodentia, Muridae.
CAGGAUGCAAAUAGAGAAGGUCUCAUCUUGACUCAGAGUCAGGACUUAGGUCUAUGUAAAUGUCAAGAAGUCACUUGGGGACAUGAGUGAAGACAAGCUCGGCCUCAUGUAUCGGCUUUCUUCUCCAGUGGGGAGUCACAAUUCUGAGGAAUGUGGAUUACUUGAUUUCUUCCAGCAAACACAGCCUUUUUUUCUCCUGAUUUUUACUGUUGUUACUUUACGUGAGCAAAAACAAUGUUUCAGGAUAUUUUCCUGAACGUUUUCCUGAACUUGAUAGACGUCUAUCAAGUCCCUAGACGGCUCCGUGGAUGAGAAGAAGCUGCGAGAGCUGAUGCAUCGCUAUCUGACUCUGAUGGCAAGGCUGGAGAAGCUGGGCUACAGCCGCAAAGUACACCUGGUGUUUAGCGAGUUUCUCAUCAAUACCUAUGGCAUCCUGAAGCAGCGUCCAGACUUGCGGGCCAACACACUGCACAGCAGCCCGGCUGCGCUGCGCAAGCUAGUCAAUGACAUUGUGCUGCCCAAGUUCCUAGGUGACUCCCUGCUACUGCUGAAUUGACUGUGUGAGCUUUCCAAGGAGGACAGUAAACCACUCUUUGCCUGGUGAGCCGCUCGCCUCACCCUUCUGGCAAUAAACAUGUUUGUUCCAAACCCAGGGGUCAUAUUUUUUGCCCUAAAACAACAACAACAACAACAAAAAAAACAAAAACAGCUGUACAUUAAACAGCUUCCCAUCUUUCAUCAGAUGGGAAAUAAGACAGAAUCAAGUGGAGAAAGGCUUGAGAAAGAGUUAAAAACCAAUAACUACCAGCAAAAUAAUGAAUCUUAUGGAGAGGAAAUUUACAAAUGAAAAGGCAAAUGGAAGAUUCUUAAAGUGAGGCAGUGAAGAGAUGGCUCAGUGGGUAAAGUUAGCCCUGAUCUUCUUAUGCAUAGACGUCUCUUCACUGCUGCUUUUCAUGUCUGCUUUGGUUUCUUCAGUGCCACCACAGCCUCACACCCAGCUAUUCUCUCCAGGCUGUUCUGAGUGAGUUUUGGAGACCCUGAGUCAUUUCCAACCCCAGCUGUAAAGGCAGAUAAAGGCUUUUCACCAGAGAAGACACCAGAAGAUCAGGCCAGCUUCUGAGGACAGUGUCAAGAGAACUCUGUGUAUCUAUUAUGUAAUUAUGUCACUACAUUUUUAGUUAUUUCUCAUUCAUAAAAGAAUGCCACUUGACACCAAGCAUGACCUAGGAUGAUUAUGUUUGAAGAGCCCGGCUCUUCCCCAAGCCAAGGUAAUUAGGAAAAGAACUGCAAGAAGUAAAAGGGUGCAGGCAACUCUUGGAAAAUCAGGUGUCCAUUUCCUUAAGGGAGAGGAAAAGGAAGGGAAGGAAGGAGGAAGAAGAAAGAGGAGAAAAAUGGAAGACAGAAAGGGAAUCUGUGCAUAUGAGCAGGGACCUUGAGUCCCAUAGCAGAUAUAUAUGUUCUUGGAACCAAAGCUGGACCUUGGUCCCUGGGAGCUCUUACAGGCGGAAGGUACAGCAUCCAUGACUUCAUGGAGAAAUGGAGGCACACAGCAGGAGAGGGAAGAUGAACCAGGCACAGGUCUGGUUUCUACAGAGGUCAUGAUCUAAACUGCCAAUGGCCCAAAGGGUCUGGUCAUUCCAGUUCAAUUCAUGUACCCUUACUCACUUCCGGGACAGCACUCCACUUAGGGACUGUUGGAGGUAGAGAAUAAUUUGAUGCAGAAGGUUGUUGACUCUGUGAAGUGCUAUAGCUGGUCGCUAUGAAUUUGUGGAGCACUGUCAUACUUGAUGACCCAAGACAUGGUCCUUUUAGUGGGAGAUAGGAGAAGUCUUAGGCAAACUAGGACAAGUUGGUUGGUUCCCUUGGGCAAGAGGAGGGCAGGGCAUUAGGAUUCUGUCAGGAUAAGGAGAGAUAAGCCAGCUUUGUAAUUAUCUAGUUCUUGAGGUAUAAACUUUCUAUGCAAAGGUUGGGAGUAAACUAAAGCAAAUGCCAAUAAACAGUAUGCAUUCA